UGGAGAGUUUGAUCCUGGCUCAGGAUGUAACUGCUCCGCCCCGUUGCCUAAUAAACGCAAGUCGAGCGAACAGACGAGGAGCUUGCUCCUCUGACGUUAGCGGCGGACGGGUGAGUAACACGUGGAUAACCUACCUAUAAGACUGGGAUAACUUCGGGAAACCGGAGCUAAUACCGGAUAAUAUAUUGAACCGCAUGGUUCAAUAGUGAAAGACGGUUUUGCUGUCACUUAUAUGAUGGAUCCGCGCCGCAUUAGCUAGUUGGUAAGGUAACGGCUUACCAAGGCAACGAUGCGUAGCCGACCUGAGAGGGUGAUCGGCCACACUGGAACUGAGACACGGUCCAGACUCCUACGGGAGGCAGCAGUAGGGAAUCUUCCGCAAUGGGCGAAAGCCUGACGGAGCAACGCCGCGUGAGUGAUGAAGGUCUUCGGAUCGUAAAACUCUGUUAUUAGGGAAGAACACAAUGUGUAAGUAACUAUGCACGUCUUGACGGUACCUAAGCAAAAAGCCACGGACCAACUACGUGCCAGCAGCCGCGGUA
RNAcentral lists this ribosomal RNA (542 nucleotides) under Staphylococcus epidermidis. RNAcentral's name for it is "bacterial SSU rRNA". It matches the Rfam family "Bacterial small subunit ribosomal RNA", at positions 1 to 522 of the family's 1533-position model. The record is from RNAcentral. Lineage: Bacteria; Bacillati; Bacillota; Bacilli; Caryophanales; Staphylococcaceae.